AUUGAACGCUGGCGGAAUGCUUUACACAUGCAAGUCGAACGGCAGCAUAGGUGCUUGCACCUGAUGGCGAGUGGCGAACGGGUGAGUAAUACAUCGGAACGUGCCCAGUCGUGGGGGAUAACGUAGCGAAAGUUACGCUAAUACCGCAUACGAUCUAAGGAUGAAAGCGGGGGACCGUAAGGCCUCGCGCGAUUGGAGCGGCCGAUGUCAGAUUAGGUAGUUGGUGAGGUAAAGGCUCACCAAGCCGACGAUCUGUAGCUGGUCUGAGAGGGCGACCAGCCACACUGGGACUGAGACACGGCCCAGACUCCUACGGGAGGCAGCAGUGGGGAAUUUUGGACAAUGGGCGCAAGUCUGAUCCAGCCAUUCCGCGUGCAGGACGAAGGCCUUCGGGUUGUAAACUGCUUUUGUACGGAACGAAAAAGCUCUUACUGAUACUAGGAGUCCAUGACGGUACCGUAAGAAUAAGCACCGGCUAACUACGUGCCAGCCGCCGCCGUAA
This 502-nucleotide ribosomal RNA is filed under the name uncultured bacterium. Its description in RNAcentral is "partial 16S ribosomal RNA". It matches the Rfam family "Bacterial small subunit ribosomal RNA", at positions 30 to 523 of the family's 1533-position model. The record is from RNAcentral.